CAGACCUCUGAUCAGGGAAGACUACCCGCUGAGUUUAAGCAUAUCACUAAGCGGAGGAGAAGAAACUAACCAGGAUUUCCCUAGUAACGGCGAGCGAACCGGAA
Molecule: ribosomal RNA, 104 nt
Filed under: Ceratodon purpureus
Lineage: Eukaryota; Viridiplantae; Streptophyta; Bryopsida; Pseudoditrichales; Ditrichaceae
Also listed under: 2 other names
Description: partial 28S ribosomal RNA
Rfam family: Eukaryotic large subunit ribosomal RNA
Source: RNAcentral